Oncorhynchus keta (chum salmon) is the source of this 878-nucleotide long non-coding RNA. RefSeq lists it as uncharacterized. The record is from RefSeq and is a predicted model, not a curated record. Lineage: Eukaryota; Metazoa; Chordata; Actinopteri; Salmoniformes; Salmonidae. The transcript has 3 exons.
CAAACUGUCAAGGAAAACACUUCAUAAUAAUGGAAUUCAGCAGAGACUUUUAUCCAAAGCAAUUCAUGCCUGCAUACAUUUUAGGUACGGGUGGUUCUGGGAAUCGAACACACUAUCCUAGCGUUGCCAGCCCCACGCUCUAUCAACUGAGCCAGACGAACACUUCUAACAACACUGACAGUAGUGCAAUGGGGGUGGCAGGUAGUCUUGUGGAUAAGACUGUUGGGCCAAUGGGGGUGGCAGGUUGCCUUGUGGAUAAGGCUGUUGGGCCAAUGGGGGUGGCAGGUAGCUUUGUGUAUAAGGCUGUUGGGCCAAUGGGGGAUUGAGGUAGCCUUGUGGAUAAGGCUGUUGGGCCAAUGAGGGUGGCAGGUAGUCUUGUGGAUAAGGCUGUUGGGCCAAUGGGGGUGGCAGGUAGUCUUGUGGAUAAGACUGUUGGGCCAAUGGGGGUGGCAGGUAGUCUUGUGGAUAAGGCUGUUGGGCCAAUGGGGGUGGCAGGUAGUCUUGUGGAUAAGGCUGUUGGGCCAAUGGGGGUGGCAGGUAGUCUUGUGGAUAAGGCUGUUGGGCCAAUGGGGGUGGCAGGUAGUCUUGUGGAUAAGGCUGUUGGGCCAAUGGGGGUGGCAGGUAGUCUUGUGGAGAAGGCUGUUGGGCCAAUGGGGGUGGCAGGUAGUCUUGUGGAUAAGGCUGUUGGGCCAAUGGGGGUGGCAGGUAGUCUUGUGGAUAAGGCUGUUGGGCCAAUGGGGGUGGCAGGUAGUCUUGUGGAUAAGGCUGUUGGGCCAAUGGGGGUGGCAGGUAGUCUUGUGGAGAAGGCUGUUGGGCCAAUGGGGGUGGCAGGUAGUCUUGUGGAGAAGGCUGUUGGGCCAAUGAGGGUGGCAGGUAGU